Molecule: RNA transcript, 2068 nt
Organism: Schistocerca cancellata (South American locust)
Lineage: Eukaryota; Metazoa; Arthropoda; Insecta; Orthoptera; Acrididae
Gene: Elp4
Gene name: elongator complex protein 4
Exons: 9
Source: RefSeq, a predicted model, not a curated record
UUUGUGCAUGAAGAACUUUGUGAAUGAGAAGUAAACAAAACAAAGUAAUGAAGUGUUUAUGUUAUGUGGCUGUGUAGCAGGUGGUAUGAACAUUGGUUUUACGGUCUUGUAAUAUGUCACAGUCAACUAGCUUUCAGAAAAAAGGGAAGUCGAAGGUGCCCCCAAUCCAGGGAACUAAACCAUCUAUACACAAUGCACAAUUGUUAAUAUCCUCUGGUGUGCCCUCUUUGGACUAUGUGUUCGGUGGAGGUAUACCUGUUGGCACAGUGAUGUUGGUGGAAGAGGACAAAUAUGGAACCUUUUCAAAAUUCAUUAUGAAGUACUUCUUAGCUGAAGGAGUUGUGUGUGGCCACUCUGUUAUUGCAGCUUCACAAGAUGUUGAUCCGGAAGCAGUGGUAGCAGAAUUACCAGCAAUGGUACAGGAAGAUGACAGUGAACCUUCAAAUUCUUCCACUGCAGAUGAGAAAAUGAAAAUUGCGUGGCGUUAUCAGAACAUAAAACCGGGUAUACCAUCACAGUCAAGAACAAGUUUUGGUCACAAUUAUGACUUGAGCCGAACUAUGGAUUUGGAAACAAUUAAAACAGCUAAUAUUUUGUAUUGGCAUGGGAGUCAGUGUCAACCUACAGAAUCCAGUGGUCACUUUGCUGAAGCUGGCUAUGGGCAACUGCUUGAAUUCAUCCGUGACCAUGUUGAAGAAGGAGGGUUCUCUGUACAUGUGAAUCCUGAACAUCGAAGUAUUUUAAGGGUGGGUGUGACUAGCAUAGGUUCUCCGCUGUGGGGGCCUGUGGAAGAUAUCAGUGACUUGUGCCACUUUCUGUAUUGCCUUCGUUCACUUAUCCGUUCUGCAUUUGGUGUCUGCUUAUUGACACUGCCAUGGCAUCUGUUUGAGCCAAUUUCUGGUGCAGUGGAGAGAUUUGAACAUUUGGUGGACUAUGUAGUUAGACUGGAGGCAUGGGAAGGUGAUGUUUUACCUGCUCUACGUGAUUACAAUGGCUUACUUCACCUUCGUAAGCUUCCAGCCAUCAACACACUUGCUCCACAUAUACCUGAAAGCCUGGAUCUUGCCUUCCGUUUACGGCGUAAGAAGUUUGUGAUACAGAAACUACACCUUCCACCAGAACUCCAAGAGUCAACUGAGAGAGAGCAAGAUGAACUAAUAGAGCCUUCAGGGAGCAGGUUGCCAUGUGGAAAAGCCUUAGACUUCUGAUGUGUGUAAGAUACCAUGGUGGGAUUUACUGAAAGAGCAUUAAAUGCGGGUGGCCCAUGAUUAUUUUGCCCUGAAUUUCUCCAGAAAAUAUGAACUCACUACUUGCCUCAUGGAAGAAACAUGUGAAUAUGUACAUUGAAGGCAAACAGAGAAGACAUCAGAUUGAAGAAAUUGCAUUCGAUUCACUGUCACUUGUAAGACAGGAAAUGGCUGUUGAAAUGGUUUCCUUGUUGUAAAAUUUAAGGAUAUUGAAAGCUACAAACUCUGUGCUCAAAGGAAAUACGAAAAGAGUCGUGCUGUUGUAGUUGUGUGGACUCUGUAUUCAUUGGAAUAUUGAAAAGUGUCAUUGUAUAAUGUGGUUCAUAACUGUGUUAUGUGUAUGUGUAUCUAAUGAAACAAGUAAAAAGUGUGACUGAAGAAUCUCAUAGACUGUAGAAGAGAUGAGAACUACCACCAUUGGAGAAAAAAAAUGAUUUUGAGCUAAAAUAUGUUUUUCUUAGAAGAUUGUCUCUUCUUCAAUAUUGAAUCCUUGUGUCCAUAGUUUUACAUGUUGAGGGUUACAAGUGGCUUAAACUUGUAGACAUGAAAACAUAUGUUUAUGCAAGAUUAUUUGGAGAAAUCAGUACACAUACUUCACAGUUAAUUGUAGACACCUGAAAACAGUAAACUAGAAUACAAAAUUACAUCAACAAUAUUCAUAUAGUCUUUCUAGUAAAAAAUUUUAAUAGUUUCACCUAAACAUUUUAGUUAAUUUGAUUCAGUAUACUACAGAUUUCCUUAAAAGUGUUACACAAAUACUGGGCAGUUAUAACUAAGGUGCAGCUACUCACGGAAGUCCAUUGUGGGCUGUAAUUGUCAUA